This 472-nucleotide ribosomal RNA is filed under the name uncultured bacterium. RNAcentral's name for it is "partial 16S ribosomal RNA". It matches the Rfam family "Bacterial small subunit ribosomal RNA", at positions 30 to 507 of the family's 1533-position model. The record is from RNAcentral.
AUUGAACGCUGGCGGCAGGCCUAACACAUGCAAGUCGAGCGGGGACUUCGGUCCUAGCGGCGCACGGGUGAGUAAUGCUUGGGAAUCUGCCCAGUAGUGGGGGAUAACGUCCCGAAAGGGACGCUAAUACCGCAUACGUCCUACGGGAGAAAGAGGGGAAUCUUCGGACCUCUCGCUAUUGGUUGGGCCCAAGUCGGAUUAGCUAGUUGGUAGGGUAAUGGCCUACCAAGGCGACGAUCCGUAGCUGGUCUGAGAGGAUGAUCAGCCACACUGGAACUGAGACACGGUCCAGACUCCUACGGGAGGCAGCAGUGGGGAAUAUUGGACAAUGGGCGAAAGCCUGAUCCAGCCAUGCCGCGUGUGUGAAGAAGGCCUUCGGGUUGUAAAGCACUUUAAGCGGGGAGGAAGGUUCGCGGCCUAAUACGUCGCGGAAUUGACGUUACCCGCAGAAUAAGCACCGGCUAACUCUGUG